Long non-coding RNA from Cucurbita moschata (crookneck pumpkin), 579 nucleotides. RefSeq lists it as uncharacterized. The record is from RefSeq and is a predicted model, not a curated record. Lineage: Eukaryota; Viridiplantae; Streptophyta; Magnoliopsida; Cucurbitales; Cucurbitaceae. The transcript has 3 exons.
GCAUGUUAGAGGAGGGAGUCCCGGAGUGAGAAAGAAAAAAGAAAAGGAUUUAUUAUUAUUAUUAUUAUUUUGAUUUGUUUUAGAAGAACAUAUUCAAAGUAGGAAAAUACCCCACCAUCCCUUUAAUUUAAUCCCAAUACCAAAAAUCAUUGCUUUAGUCAUUGUCGUCUCAAAACCUUAUAAUUGUUCUUGUUUUGUAAUUUACUAUAUAUUCUCACUCAUCUCCAUUUAUCAUUUGUUUUCAGCCUAAUCUAAUCAUAUCAUUCACUUGGAAAAAAGUCCCUAUGAACAAACCACACCCGACCAGCAGGCAGGUUUGAAGGUUGACUGCAGAAAAACCGAAGCAUAGUUUCAAAAUCUGAUGCCGUAUGCUCAUUGACUAUGUUAUUUUUGUCAGAAGAAGAAGAAGAAAUAAAAGGUGAACGAACAACAAAUGCAAUAGGGACCUCACCGGCUUUAUCAUCAGGAUAUCUGCAGGUGGAAAUUCAUGGCAGAGGUUAACAAGAAAGUAUGAAAUAGAAAGGAAAAUCCACUACGAACGUCCACAUAAUGAUGGGACUAUAGAUGCUACUAUUUACU